GAGAGAAAGAAGAUGUAUUAGAUUGAUAAGAGUUAGGGUUACAAAUGGAGGCACACUUUAGUACAUAUAGAGAACAAACUCUAGGUCUAAGGGGGUGUGUACAAAGACAAUCAUACCCUCUCUUAGCCUUGUAACCCGAGUAACCCAAGUAACCUGUAACCCGAGUAACCCAAGUAACCUGUAACCCGAGUAACCCAAGUAACCUACAUUUAACCCUUAACUAUGACUUAGUUAGUGUUAAAUGUCUUCUUGAUUAACAACACAUCCUUGAAAAAUAUUCUCCAACUUGUAGGGAUAAUACUCUUUUUCCCUAAGCUUGGUUUUGUCCCACGUGGUUUUCCAAGCUUAGGUUUUUAAUGAGGUUAUUCAUACAAGUGCCAAGUUUAUACACAAUUGGGCAUUGUAAUAUAAACUUGAGGGGGAGUGUUAAUCAAGAAGACAUUUAACACUAACUAAGUCAUAGUUAAGA
This 469-nucleotide long non-coding RNA is filed under the name Arabidopsis lyrata. Its description in RNAcentral is "long non-coding RNA (ALYR_LNC001921)". The record is from RNAcentral. Lineage: Eukaryota; Viridiplantae; Streptophyta; Magnoliopsida; Brassicales; Brassicaceae.